CUUUCUAGUUUGUGUGGUAUGACACAGAUGUCACUACUGUGAGGAAGAAUGAAAUGUUAUCCAACCCUAAUCUCUGGCAGAUGUCUUAUCCUUCUCCAAAGUGAUGAUGUAGAAGCUCUCUUAACUCCAGGAGCUGCCCCAUCGUCCAGUCAUAUACAGACAGCUAAGUGGAAGCCAGGAAAGGCAUCAUCCUAAAGUGGGCAGCUGCACCAGUAUCACCCACUUGAGGGACAUACAUGAAGG
This is a long non-coding RNA of Fukomys damarensis (Damara mole-rat), 243 nucleotides long. RefSeq lists it as uncharacterized. The transcript is spliced from 4 exons. The record is from RefSeq and is a predicted model, not a curated record. NCBI's taxonomy places the organism in Eukaryota, Metazoa, Chordata, Mammalia, Rodentia, Bathyergidae.